Molecule: ribosomal RNA, 246 nt
Filed under: uncultured bacterium
Lineage: Bacteria
Also listed under: 1 other name
Description: partial 16S ribosomal RNA
Rfam family: Bacterial small subunit ribosomal RNA
Source: RNAcentral
CCAGCCGUAAACGAUGGAUACUAGGUGUGGGGGGAUCGACCCCCUCCGUGCCGCAGUUAACGCAAUAAGUAUCCCACCUGGGGAGUACGGCCGCAAGGCUGAAACUCAAAGGAAUUGACGGGGGCCCGCACAAGCGGUGGAGCAUGUGGUUUAAUUCGAUGCAACGCGAAGAACCUUACCAGGGCUUGACAUCCCCUGCUACCUAUCGAAAGAUGGGGUUCUCUUCGGAGACAGGGAGACAGGUGG